Molecule: long non-coding RNA, 4477 nt
Filed under: Mytilus galloprovincialis (Mediterranean mussel)
Lineage: Eukaryota; Metazoa; Mollusca; Bivalvia; Mytilida; Mytilidae
Source: RNAcentral
GUUUUAAUUUAGGUAUUGUGUAUUCUGAACAUGCUAGUAGCUGUCACUGUGCUGCGUUUGUUGAUCCAGUUUGCUCUACAACUAAUGUGACUCAUAAUAACGAAGGUUGCAUGAUGUGCACGUAAGUUUCUUAACAAAACAGAAAAAAAUACUAAUCCUUAACAUUUUUUAUUAGAUAAGAAUUAACACGAACCCCGUGGUUAGAGCAACGUAUAUUUUAAUGCAUGCAAGUGAUAAUUGAAUGCUACAUGAUUGUUGGUAAUUAUUGAAUACAGUACUACGCUGGUGAUAAUUGAACAUUGAAUAAAGAAAUUUCUCUUAAAAGUAAUAUACAAAUAUAUAUAAAUCUAGACAUCAAUGUUGAAUGGAACAUUGGAUCGAUCUAGUUAAGAUCAUAGAAAUCUGGUUGUCAACAACAUUAUACAUUCACGCAACUUCAUAGAAAAAGUUGCACAGCUUUAGCCGCAAAGGGAUCUCAUAUUGGAAAUUACAUUGUCUAUUUAUACAGAAUUGCAACCUAUAAACUGAAUCACUUUAAUACUAGUAACUGAAUAUUGCAUGCUUCUGAUAAGGAUCAUGCCUAAUAAUUGGUGUUCCCUGUCGGGGAACACGGUUUCGCUAAUGUGAUUUAAUAAGGGCUGUUUUCGUAACCUUGAUUUGUCUCUACCUUCAUUUCAUUUAUGAGAUUUGAAGAUUGCAUGGUUGAUUACUAUUGCUGAAAAUUCAAAACGUUUAUGAACGCUAAAUCAAACGCAAGUCAUUUUAUGGCAAAUUUUACUCAGCAAUAAAAUCUAUUUUAACAUGAGUUAAAAAUAAAUACCUCCCACCCCCACCACAACAAUAUCAUCUUUAAUAUUAGUAUCAUAAGCCCUCUUUCCAUCUUCAUUCAAAACAUUUUCCGAAAAAAUUUGCUUACUAUUCAAACGCUAAUAUUCGCGACUGGCUGCUUUCCGGCAAACCAUUUUAAGAUUGACAAAUAUGUUUGGAUGGUCACAUUGAUAAUGAAAUAAGAAAUAUCACUAAUAAAUAUUUUAUUGUUUAUCUGUUGUUUAUGGGUUAAAAAAACAUGCGCAUUAUUAUGCCAUGUUUGUGCAUUACUCUGUUUGUAAAUACAACUUAUAAAACAUAAGGUACUAUAUAUAUCGCAGAGUUUAUUUUAAGCUGGUUCAUUAAAAUUGAGAAGGAAAUGGGGAAUGUGUCAAAGUGACAACAACCCGACAAAGAGUUAACACAGCCGAAGUCCACCAAUGGGUCUUCAACACAUCAAGAAUAUAUCGCGGCCUGAAGCAGACUUUAGCUGGCCCUAAACAAAAAUGUGUAUUUGUUCAGUGAAAAUGCCGUGAUACUUUAAAACUUGUAAAACAUAUAAAUGAACCAAUGUUUUUAAAAAAAUAAAGAUAAGACUUACAUUGUCUCUCUCUUUGUAGUUGUUACAUGUUUCAUAUCACAUAACAAUUCAUAAACCUAUUGAACGUACUGCUGCAGUCACUAAUCUUUUGAAAAAAAUCAAACUGCUGAGGUUAAUAUCAGUGCAUAACUACGUUAUGUUCUCAGUAUUAUUACAAUUUAACGUAAAAAUAAAUUUGAAUCGGAAUCGUUAGAGAAAGGAUUUGUAGUAUCAUUAUCUAAAGACAACAAUGUAUGUUAUAAAAAUCAACAGUAUUUUUUUUCAAAACAUUUUCAAUGACCGUUUGGGAAGAACGAUAUCCAUAACAGAAGUGGAACAGUUAUAUUUGUUAUUUCAGUCACCAAGUUUUAGAUUGCCGUCGUGCUUGUCCAUGUGUGGGUGGACCACCAACAACAGUAAGUUUAAAUAAUUAUCGUGAAAUAUGUAUUAAAAUAAAAGAUAACAAGUAUUGAAUAAGUCACCCACGUUCUUAAUAUCGGGGAAUUAUAAUAGAACACAAUAGAAAAGCAAUGAACCCACACGGAGGGUAAAGUUCUCCGAAUAGCGCAGCACUUAAACCAAUAUCAAUUUCACUCAAAACAGAUAGUGGCAAAUCUACAUUAAUUUCAUUUGUAAAGGGAAAUGGGGAAUGUGUCAAAAAGACAACAACCCGACCAAAGAGAAAACCGGAGGUGGACUUAUGCUGGCCCCUAAACAAAAAAUGUAUUUGUUCAGUGAAAAUACCGUCAUACUUAACUUCUAAAACAUAUAAAGGAGCUACAAUUAAAAAUAGUAUAAGACCAUCAUUGUCUCUCUUUUUAAAUUUGUUACAUGUUUCAUAUCACACAACAUACACCUAUUGAACGUCAUGCGGUAGUCACUAAUAGUUUGAAGAAAAUAACUGCUGAGGUUAAUAGCAGUGAAUAACUACAUUAUGUUUUCAGUAUUAUUACAGUUAAAAGUAAAAAUAAAUUGAAAUUGUUGGAGAAAGGAUGCGUAGCAGGUCAUUAACUAAAGGCAACAAUGUAUGUAAUAAAGAUCAACAGCAUUUUUUUUCAAAACAUUUUCAAUGACCGUUUUGGAAGAAACGAUUUCCAUGACAAACGUGGAACAGUUAUAAAUGUUAUAUUUGUUAUUUCAGACACCAAGCUUUACUUUGCCACCGUUGUGAGUGUCCAUACAACGACAGUAAAAAGUGUUAAAAACAGUAAUGAAAGAUAUAUUUAGAUAAUUGCAGUGAAAGAUAUAUUUUAAUCAAAGAUAACAGGAACCAAACAAAUUGUGUUAAAAACGUAACCUGAGAAGUUCAAUAAAACACAAUUGAAAAACAAAUAACCAACAUAAGGAAUAGUUCUCCAAAUAGCGCAGCACUAAAAUCGGUAUGAAUUUCACUCAAAACAGAUUAGUGACAAAUCAACAUUGAGUUUAUUUGUAAAAGGAAAUGGGGAAUGUUUUUAAAAGAAAACGUAUAAGAUAUCUUUGGCACAAUUUAAAAUAUAAACAGCACACACUUAAACCUAUUCCUUUGUCCAAUAUGAACUUUACUGAAAACCGGAAGUGAUAAAUCUACGUCAUUAUGGUAAUCUGACAGAUAAAAAUGACAGAAAUAGUAAAAUUAUAUCUGAAUCUUACUCAAAUGAUGAUUUUUAACAAAAACAAAACAUUUGUGUACUUCAAAGUUAUUGAUUAUUUCUGCAAAAAUCGAAAUUAAAACUGAAAAACGAAAACGAAAAUUGACACAAUAUACUUUAAACAAAAAUUCCUCUCAAUUGAGCACCUGCAACAUGGAGGAUGCGAACUCACAACCUCAAUGUUAACAGGUUAUUGAUACAGUAAUUCGACUACUAUAACCAUACACCAUGCACCGAGGCCCCGGUGUGAAUUGACUACGGAAAACAUAAUAGACAAUGAUGUUUCUUCUCUAAAUAAUGUGAGGUUUUAUGUAAGAAAAAAGUAAAAUCAUAAUAAUACUGAACUCCGAGGAAAAUUCAUAAAGGAAAGUCCCAAUUCAAAUAGCAAAAUCAAAAGCUCAUACACAUCAAACAAAUGGAUAACAACUGUCAUAUUCCUGACUUGGUACUGGCAUUUUCUUAUGUAGAAAAUGGUGGAUUGAACCUGGUUUUAUAGCGAUCUUAACCACUCGCUGGUAUGACAGUCGCAACAAAUUCCAUUCUUUUGAUAACGAUGUGUGAACAAAACAAACAGACAGUAUAGGUAAAAAAAGUAAAAAAAAUAGAUGUACAGCAGUCAACAUUGUGUAAUUAUCUUAAUCACUAUUAAAACGAACAAACAUUUUUUUCAGAUGCAAAAAGACUUCAACCCUUGUUUUGGAGAGGUGUUAAUAGUAUCGAUUUUAUUUUCACUUUAAGCAGCAAUUAUUCAUUCUUCCAACCAACACUUUAAUAUUCCUUGUUUAAUGUUAUUUCCUCUAGACUAAUUCAUUUUACAUUAUUUAUUUCAGCACGGGAAAGUGAGAUGGAAUAACAUAUUUGAAAUAUAUUACAAAAGCAAAGAAUAAAAGAUUUUCACAUUAUUAGUGUUGAAUAUUAUUAUGCGAAAACUUAUCAUUAACAAACAACAUUGUUAGCUACAUCAUUCCAUAAGAAAACCUAUACAAGAUACUGAAUAUUGAGCAUAUUGCAAAAGAACAGAAACAUGAACUGACAUUGCCACAUUUUGUCUCAGAUACUAGUCUGAAGCCAGCCAUAUGUGUUCAUUUUAACAUAACAUAAUGCAAACCUUAUAUUAUCCAUAGUAUUUUUGAUAUCAAUUUCACCGAGAUACAUUAUUUGUCCUUGUUGAAAUGUGUUAAAAUGACAGGUGUCACAUGUGCAGCGGAUCUGCUCAACCUUUCAAGAGCACAUGAAAUCUCCCACCAAUUAGUUUUUUUUUCAAUGUUGUGUUUUGUUGAAUGUUGUUUAUUUUUUCGCUGUUUUUUUCACUGGUAUUUAAAAGUUUGUAUUUGAGUGAUGAGUUUGAAUAUCAUUUGGGUAUCUGUUGCAUCUGUUUUAUUGAUCAUUAGAAAUUAUAAACAUACCUAAAGUUUUGUAUUAUUUUAAACCAAAUUUUAUUUGUUGCCAGAGACAAACU